RNAcentral lists this ribosomal RNA (302 nucleotides) under uncultured bacterium. RNAcentral describes it as "partial 16S ribosomal RNA". It matches the Rfam family "Bacterial small subunit ribosomal RNA", at positions 508 to 807 of the family's 1533-position model. The record is from RNAcentral.
GCAGUCGCCGCGGGAAUACGGAGGGUGCAAGCGUUAUCCGGAUUUAUUGGGUUUAAAGGGUCCGUAGGCGGAUCUGUAAGUCAGUGGUGAAAUCUUACAGCUUAACUGUGAAACUGCCAUUGAUACUGCAGGUCUUGAGUAAAUUUGAAGUGGCUGGAAUAAGUAGUGUAGCGGUGAAAUGCAUAGAUAUUACUUAGAACACCAAUUGCGAAGGCAGGUCACUAAGAUUUAACUGACGCUGAUGGACGAAAGCGUGGGGAGCGAACAGGAUUAGAUACCCGAGUAGUCCCUGUCUCUUAUAC